AAGGUUUCCGUAGGUGAACCUGCGGAAGGAUCAUUAUCGAAUUAANCAAGGCGAAAGGUUGUGCUGGCCCCUCGGGGCAUGUGAACGCCCGAGCCGAUUUUAAUCCAAACCAACACCUGUGAACCUACCGUAGGGCGCUCCUUUGAGCGUCGGUAUUUCUUAUCAUAAACACUGUAUGUCGAUAGAAUGUAAAUCAAAUAUCUUCGCCCUGAAAAAGCGUUGGUAAACUUUAUACAACUUUCACCAACGGAUCUCUUGGCUCUCGCAUCGAUGAAGAACGCAGCGAAAUGCGAUAAGUAAUGUGAAUUGCAGAUUUUCAGUGAAUCAUCGAAUCUUUGAACGCACCUUGCGCUCCUUGGUAUUCCGAGGAGCAUGCCUGUUUGAGUGUCAUUAAAUUUCUCAACGCCGAUUCGAUUUGGUUUUUACCAUGUCGUUUUGGACGCUUGGAUUUUGGAGCGUGCUGGCCCUUGCCCGGGUCGGCUCCUCUUAAAAGCAUUGGCGGAAUUACGUUGGUCUCUUCGGUCAUCAGCGNGAUAAUUAUGUUACGCUGUCGGCCUAGAUCAAAGUCCGCUUAUAAUGGUCUUUGGACAAAAUUUAACAACCAAAAAUUUCUU
RNAcentral lists this ribosomal RNA (614 nucleotides) under uncultured Atheliaceae. RNAcentral describes it as "eukaryotic LSU rRNA". The stretch from base 236 to 390 matches the Rfam family "5.8S ribosomal RNA". Lineage: Eukaryota; Fungi; Basidiomycota; Agaricomycetes; Atheliales; Atheliaceae. The record is from RNAcentral.